This is a long non-coding RNA of Lutzomyia longipalpis, 1247 nucleotides long. RefSeq lists it as uncharacterized. The record is from RefSeq and is a predicted model, not a curated record. The transcript is spliced from 2 exons. NCBI's taxonomy places the organism in Eukaryota, Metazoa, Arthropoda, Insecta, Diptera, Psychodidae.
GCACAAAUUUUGAAAAUUUGCCAUUAUGGGAGAAAUAACGAUCAAUUUAAAUAAGUCUCCAAAACCCAACUUACGCCGAUGAUCUUUUAUAUGUGUAUGUGUUGUGUGGGUUUUGGGGUGGGGCAAGUUAAUAUGCCUUCUUCUUCUUGACAGAGAAAAGUUUAGUACACCGUGGAAGACCGGCAGGAAAAGACCUAUUUUUCCGUGCGAGUCGGACGUACCAGUUGGGGCGAAAUCCCCCUGGGGCCCAGUGGCCAUCUUGUGAAGUGUGCCACCCGUGCAGUGGAAGAGAUACGCCGCCUGCCGCGGUGAGAAAUUAGAAGGACGGAAGGAUUUGCUGCAAUUGGCGUCCAGUGGCAGCUACCGUGCCACUGCACACUCCCCGUCAAAUUUGGGAGUUCCGCCGAGGCGAGGGAUUUCAUCCGGAGCCUCUCGUAAUCCACCACUUGUGACACGACUCACUCCCUGACAAUUCGGGAGUUCUGCGGAGUUAGAAGCGCAGCAGAAGCAGCAGUGACUCACCAUCGGUGACGACAUCCUCCCCGUCAAUUUAGGGAGUUCCGCCAAGGCGAGGGAUUUUAUCCGGAGCCUUCCGUGACCCACAACUUGUGGCACGACUCACUCUCAGGCAAUUCAGAGAGUGCGGCGGAGUUGAAGAGCAUCAGAGGCAGUGGUGAUUCACCAACCAUCAAGGCACCCUCCCAGUCACUAUAGGGAGCGCUGCCAAGGCGAGGGAUUUCAUCCGGAGCCUUUCGUGACCUGCAAUUCGUGUCACGACAUUCUCCCUGAGAAUUCGGGAGUUCAGCAGAGGUGGAAGAGCGUCUGGGACGACAGUGAUUCAUCACCCAGAGGGCUCACUCCCCGUGGAAUUGGAGAGUCUCACCGAGCCGAAGAAGUUCUACUCGGGCAUCUCAUGGUACAGCAGAGCAUCUUGACUACAAGAGACGUCGCCCAGAUGAUGUGAAGAAGGACCCGAUUUUGUAGUGAGUGGCUGAAUAAAUCGUCCCCGUUUGAGGACUAAGAGGAAAAAGGAUUUCUAUAAAUGGCGCCCAACCAUCGGUGGAACCAGAGAAAAGUUUAGUACACCGUGGAAGACCGGCAGGAAAAGACCUAUUUUUCCGUGCGAGUCGGACGUACCAGUUGGGGCGAAAUCCCCCUGGGGCCCAGUGGCCAUCUUGUGAAGUGUGCCACCCGUGCAGUGGAAGAGAUACGCCGCCUGCCGCGGUGAGAAAUUAGAAGGACGGAAG